RNAcentral lists this long non-coding RNA (530 nucleotides) under Nicotiana benthamiana. RNAcentral describes it as "long non-coding RNA (NBEN_LNC030738)". Lineage: Eukaryota; Viridiplantae; Streptophyta; Magnoliopsida; Solanales; Solanaceae. The record is from RNAcentral.
CUUCAUGCUCUUUCUCGAAAUGUUACAUAAGUCAGCACUUGUAUUUUUGAAGCCAAAAUGGGUACCUGAAUAUGGUAUGGGAAAAUUAGAAAUUGGAUUAGAGGUCUUGCAGAAAUGGCAACAGCAGUAAACAGCAAGAGCAACAAACUCGACAGGAAUCAACCACAACCAACGAAAAAUAGAGUUUUUAACAAUAAUCCUAAAUUAGCCUUGCAAAACUUAGAUUCACCUCUUUCUAAACCAGGUUCAGCUUUCAAAACCAAAUCAAACUAACCUAGACCCCAGGUGAACCAGAUAAUGCUCCAAAAUCCAAAGAGACCUCAAAGCUCAAGUUUAAGCAGUAAUUUUCAAUAUUUAGCUGCCUGAAGUUUCUUUGGAAUUUUUCAGUUCUUAAUCCUUGUCUUCUAAGGCAAGAAAGAAUGUCUUUAAAGGCAAGUAACUAGGUCACCCUUCAGAAUUGUUAUUUCAAUUUAGUCCCUAUAAUUUUUAGCUUUUUUGCAUUCCAAUCCUUAGUAUCCUGACUUGCUACC